This 499-nucleotide ribosomal RNA is filed under the name uncultured bacterium. RNAcentral describes it as "partial 16S ribosomal RNA". It matches the Rfam family "Bacterial small subunit ribosomal RNA", at positions 28 to 507 of the family's 1533-position model. The record is from RNAcentral.
GAUGAACGCUGGCGGCGUGCCUAAUACAUGCAAGUCGAGCGAACAGACGAGAGUGCUUGCACUCUCUGACGUUAGCGGCGGACGGGUGAGUAACACGUGGGUAACCUACCUAUAAGACUGGGAUAACUUCGGGAAACCGGAGCUAAUACCGGAUAAUAUUUAGCUUCGCAUGAAGCAAUAGUGAAAGACGGUUCUGCUGUCACUUAUAGAUGGACCCGCGGUGUAUUAGCUAGUUGGUGAGGUAACGGCUCACCAAGGCAACGAUACAUAGCCGACCUGAGAGGGUGAUCGGCCACACUGGGACUGAGACACGGCCCAGACUCCUACGGGAGGCAGCAGUAGGGAAUCUUCCGCAAUGGGCGAAAGUCUGACGGAGCAAUGCCGCGUGAGUGAAGAAGGUUUUCGGAUCGUAAAACUCUGUUGUAAGGGAAGAACAAGUACGUUAGUAACUGAACGUACCUUGACGGUACCUUACCAGAAAGCCACGGCUAACUACGUG